Salmo salar (Atlantic salmon) is the source of this 2673-nucleotide non-coding RNA. The record is from RefSeq and is a predicted model, not a curated record. Lineage: Eukaryota; Metazoa; Chordata; Actinopteri; Salmoniformes; Salmonidae.
CAAGCAUAGUUGUCUUCUAGCUUUUCUUCAUGUGUGUACCCGAGAGUCAGACACCCAAGGACAGUGCCUGUUUUUAUGCUACAGUUAGGACAGUUUCUGCUUUUGUGCUACAGCCAUCUUCCAUUCUACCAACCCCUCCCGUACACCUGUCCUUGAGCGGCCCCACAACCAGGCAUUGUGUGUGUGUGUGUCAAGAGUCUACUCAGCCUUCACUCCUACUAGCCAGCAACCCUCCAGUUAGUCAUGUCUAUUAUAUGUUGCUCAAUCUAUGUUAAUACAAUAUAAACCUCUUAGUGCAUUACAGUCCAUUCAUACUUAGGCCUACAUCUACUGUAAAUGGUAAUGCAUCACAUCUAAUAAGUGAAAUAAAACCCAACAGUUUCAAGCAGAGAUUCAAUAUCUACCUCGCAGCCAGUGGAGCAGGGGGAGAUUUGAAAGCUUCCAUUUUCUGCGUGCUAUUGGAGAGGAUGCAUUGGACAUUUUACAGUAUCUUUCAGCUAGACGAGGCAAACUUGACAUUGACUGUGCUCAUGGCUACAUUUGAAAAUCUGAAAGACAAACUAAUGAAAAAAAGGACAGUGUGGCAUGCUUUAUAAUGGACUCCUGUAGCAAUUGCUGCGUGAGCUAAAUUUAACUUUGGAUAAAGCAGUUAAUGUGUUGAGCAGCUGAAACCAUCAGAGCACAAGCUAAAGAGCUGCGCAUGGAUGAGACAUCAGCGAAUGCAAUAAAAAGAGAGGAGCACCACACACAACGCCUUACAAAACAAAAACAAGCAAAAGAGAAAUAAAAAAACUAACGUGGAAAAUGUGGAGUUAUCCACAAGCCAAAAAAUUGCUCUGCAUAUGGAAAAUCGUGUAACAACUGGGGGAAAAAUAUAUAAUUUCUCAAAAUACUGCAAAGCUGAGGCUACAAAGGAAUAGGUUCUGAAGAAUUAUUUGUUGAUUCUGUGGAAAUAUGGAAUGCAGUAAAAGGUGAAUGGGAUUGUGCCAUUGACUGUGAAUGAAACUAUAAUACCAUUGACUGUGAAUGAAACUAUAAUACUGUCAUAACUCUCCUGUGAAGAUCUGAAGGAUCAGGUUACAGUGGGUCCGUUCUACAGCGCCCUCUCUCCCGCAUAGGUGGAGGGCGCCGCUUUAUGGCGGUCAUAAAAUACUCUGCUUCUGGGCUCUGUAGUAUUUGAGAUUGGAAUGUGACUGUGGAACACAGAGAGACACUUGGACAUCAAAAGGUUGAAUAAUUGAACAGUAUUUCUGUAUUCCAAGCAGUUGGGGUGGUCCGUGCACACUUAAGGAACAGUCAUGUCGAGUUUGUUUCAUUUGAUGACCUCACGAAGGACAGGAGACACACUGUUUCUUUGUUUAUAUACACUUCUCAAUUAUGGAGUUUGAAUGUUGUAUAAAAUAAAUGAUUAAGCAUAAGAAUACUUUUUGGAGCGAGAACAAUGUGAUCUUAGUCUUCUAAAUGAGAAUGUUUUUUCAUAGUAACUUAUGAUCAGUCAGUGGCCACGCCCCUGUGAACACAGACAUUACACGGCAUCAUGGAACGCCCCCUUUUCUACUCAUGUAUAAAACCACCCGUGACAAAAUUUAGAUUAGAGCAGAAAACAUGGCAGCUGUCGCUACAUGUUGAAAUGGUUGGCAACUCUACCAAAAAUACAAGACCAGAGAACACGGAGGUCAUCCCCACGCUGAAAUGGUUAAGAAAUCUACAAACUAAAGAGCAAUUAUUCAGGCUGCAGCUGUUUAAGUACUUUAGUCUGGUAAACGCAACCGAUCGAAAGACCGAAUAGUACGUCUGACAUUCAUUACAACAGACACUUUCCAGAGCCCGCUGAGAAAACUACAACCACAAAAGACUUUGGGACUUCUGGGGAAUGCAACCAGAGAUUCUAUCCAGCAGAUGGACCGGUGACUACAGAGAGAGACAACAAAGGCAUACACUCGUAAAUAUGUCAAUUGCAAUUUCUUUUCGAAUGUUCAAAUUAUUAACAUUUCCAUUAGCCAUUAGUAGUCAACUGUAUGUAUCUGAGUUUCCCGCCCUUGAACUGUCCCCACCCCUGUCCUUUGUCUACCAAGCCGUCAUAUCGGUUUCGUCCACUAGGGACUUUUCCUUUCUAUCAUGUUAGUAGCCAAUGUAUGACCUAUUGUGUGUUUUUAUGUAAUUCUGUGAUUGAUUAGUUGGUUAGUAAAUAAAUAAUUAAGACAAUUUGUAUAUCGCUGGUUCAUGAUUUAUGAUGCUCGGGUUUGUGCAGCUAUCCAAGGAUUUGCAACAUUCAGGAAUGAGACUGAUGAGGUAAUAAUACAUGUAACUGACAGUUAAUCUGUAAGUCUAUGUCGUUGUUUUUUUUGUUGAAUUGUUUACGUGUUCGCUAUACGGGGGAAAUGAUAAGACAGGUGGAACUACGUGGCUAAUAACUGUUGUAACGGGGAUCAUUAUCGUAGCAACACAUCUUUGGGGGUGAAGGCUUUCCCGCGCGAUGUUAGCUAAGUUUUCAUGUUACCGGGUGUAGUUCAUAAAGGUUGAUAUGUGUAUGUUAGGAUGAAGCGUGAAUUCAUGCCAGGAAUAUAAGUGUGAAGUUUGAUUUCCUCCCUUCUGUAAUAAGCAGCCAAUGAGUUCUCACGGAAGGUGAUAAUUCUGACUAAACUACAGAAUAAAGCCGCCAGUUAAAAUCAA